This 24-nucleotide unclassified non-coding RNA is filed under the name Mus musculus (house mouse). RNAcentral describes it as "oocyte_clustered_small_RNA8527". The record is from RNAcentral. Lineage: Eukaryota; Metazoa; Chordata; Mammalia; Rodentia; Muridae.
UAGUCAGUGGCGACCAGCGUGCAC